CCUACGGGAGGCUGCAGUGAGGAAUAUUGGUCAAUGGGCGCGAGCCUGAACCAGCCAAGUAGCGUGAAGGAUGACUGCCCUACGGGUUGUAAACUUCUUUUAUAAAGGAAUAAAGUGAGGCACGUGUGCCUUUUUGUAUGUCCUUUAUGAAUAAGGAUCGGCUAACUCCGUGCCAGCAGCCUCGGUAAUACGGAGGAUCCGAGCGUUAUCCGGAUUGAGUGGGUUGAAAGGGAGCGUAGAUGGGUUGUUACGUCAGUUUGGAAAGUUUGCGGCUCAACCGUAAAAUUGCAAUUGAUACUGGCAGUCUUGAGUACAGUUGAGGUAGGCGGAAUUCGUGGUGUAGCGGUGAAAUGCUUAGAUAUCACGAAGAACUCCGAUUGCGAAGGCAGCUUACUAAACUGCCACUGACAUUGAUGCUCGAAAGUGUGGGUAUCAAACAGGAUUAGAUACCCGAGUAGUC
RNAcentral lists this ribosomal RNA (460 nucleotides) under uncultured bacterium. RNAcentral describes it as "partial 16S ribosomal RNA". It matches the Rfam family "Bacterial small subunit ribosomal RNA", at positions 338 to 795 of the family's 1533-position model. The record is from RNAcentral.